UCGCCACUAGCCUAUUAGGGUCGGCUAGAAACCAAGUGAGGCAUGAGCGCGUGCCUCACUUCCUACGCAACCAGAGAAUUUAGGUUCGGGGACUUGAUUACACUAAUUAACCAAUUAGUGCCCUUUCGGUACCUAAUCUUGUUCAUUUUAACAAAAUGAUUUUUGGCAGGCAAUUUGGAUUGAUUUCAUAUUUAUCCACUAACAUGUGAGGUGAUCAUGCAGGUGCGUAAUCAUUAAAGUAAAUUAUAACUACCAAGAUCUUAAUUGCAGUAAAAUUAACACAUACCACUAAGCAAUUGCAAACAUACUUAAAUAGGUGAAUUAAACAUGCAAUAUAAUCAAUACAAGCAAUUUAAGGCCUAAAUACACUAUAAAUGCAAUACAUGGCCAUUCCUAAACAAAACCUACAUUUUUUGGAUUUUCGAAAUUUUUUAAUUUUUUU
Molecule: long non-coding RNA, 442 nt
Filed under: Eucalyptus grandis
Lineage: Eukaryota; Viridiplantae; Streptophyta; Magnoliopsida; Myrtales; Myrtaceae
Description: long non-coding RNA (EGRA_LNC005590)
Source: RNAcentral